UACGGAGGAUGCAAGCGUUAUCCGGAAUGAUUGGGCGUAAAGCGUCCGCAGGUGGCUAUGUAAGUCUGCUGUUAAAGAGUGAGGCUCAACCUUAUAAAAGCAGUGGAAACUACAUGGCUAGAGUGCGUUCGGGGCAGAGGGAAUUCCUGGUGUAGCGGUGAAAUGCGUAGAGAUCAGGAAGAACACCGGUGGCGAAAGCGCUCUGCUAGGCCGCAACUGACACUGAGGGACGAAAGCUAGGGGAGCGAAUGGG
RNAcentral lists this ribosomal RNA (253 nucleotides) under uncultured bacterium. RNAcentral's name for it is "partial 16S ribosomal RNA". It matches the Rfam family "Bacterial small subunit ribosomal RNA", at positions 524 to 776 of the family's 1533-position model. The record is from RNAcentral.